CUGUUUUUCAGGAGCGAGAAGAGAAAGAGACUCCUCACCUCUGACAGUGAUAUGACUGAGGACUACCCCAAGGAAAAUGACUCAUCAAGCAACAACAAGGCCACUUCAGAUCCAUCCAGGAAGUUUCUACUGAGCUGCAAAGAUAAGCUGAAGCAGGCAGAGGAGAGCAGAAGCUCAGCUCCUCUGGGUUCAACUCCCCUUCAGCCAACAUCAUUCUACGGCAGCCGAUCAGUGACUAAAGACUACAGCCAGAGCCACUCUUUCCUG
Molecule: non-coding RNA, 267 nt
Organism: Plectropomus leopardus (leopard coralgrouper)
Lineage: Eukaryota; Metazoa; Chordata; Actinopteri; Perciformes; Serranidae
Source: RefSeq, a predicted model, not a curated record